GUGUCAGCCGCCGCGGUAAUACAGAGGUCCCAAGCGUUGUUCGGAUUCACUGGGCGUAAAGGGUGCGUAGGUGGUUUGGUAAGUCUGAUGUGAAAUCUCCGAGCUUAACUCGGAAAUGGCAUUGGAUACUAUCGAGCUAGAGGAUUGGAGGGGAGACUGGAAUUCUCGGUGUAGCAGUGAAAUGCGUAGAUAUCGAGAGGAACACCAGUGGCGAAGGCGAGUCUCUAGACAAUUCCUGACACUGAGGCACGAAAGCUAGGGGAGCAAACAGGAUUAGAUACCCCCGUAGUCC
This 292-nucleotide ribosomal RNA is filed under the name uncultured bacterium. Its description in RNAcentral is "partial 16S ribosomal RNA". It matches the Rfam family "Bacterial small subunit ribosomal RNA", at positions 505 to 796 of the family's 1533-position model. The record is from RNAcentral.